AUUAAGUUAAAUAAAAGCUUAAUGGUUAAGUUUAUUUUUGAAAUAUAUGUUUUUAUUUAAAGAGUUUUUUGCAGUAUUUAAUUUUUUAUAUUUUUUAAAUAUUGAUUGAGCAAUAAAUUUAAAUUUUGGCAAAAUUUGUGCCAGCAGUCGCGGUUAUACAAAUAAUGUUAUUUAACUUUUUAGAGAAGAAUUUAAUUUAAUAUAAAAAAUAUAGUAUAAAUUUAUUAGGUAAAAUUUUAAUUUUAUAGAAGUUUUUUUUUAUGAAAAUUUUAAUUUUUAUGAAAAACUAGGAUUAGAUACCCUAUUAUUUUAAUGUAAAUUUAUUUCUUAAUUAGUAUUAGUUAUUUCUUGAAAAUUAAAUUUUUUGGCGGUGUUUUAUCCAUUUAGAGGAACCUGUUCUGUAAUUGAUACUCCACAUUAAGACAAACUUGUUUUUUGUAUGUAUAUCGUCGUUUUAAAAAAUUUUUUCAGGAUAAUAAUUUUUAAGAUUUUUUAUUAUAAAAUAGUUCAGAUCAAGGUGCAGCUUUAGACAAGGAGAAAUGGGUUACAAUAAUUUUAUUUAUACGGUUAAUAAGUUUUAAUUUUAUUAUAAGGUGGAUUUAAAAGUAAUUUUUUAGGAUUUUUUAUUUUGAUAAGGGAUUUAAUGCAUGCACAUAUCGCCCGUCGCUCUCGUUUAUAAUUUGAGAUAAGUCGUAACAAAGUAGGUGUACCGGAAGGUGUUCCUAGAUUGAC
RNAcentral lists this non-coding RNA (732 nucleotides) under Bostrichoidea sp. 7 KM-2017. Lineage: Eukaryota; Metazoa; Arthropoda; Insecta; Coleoptera. The record is from RNAcentral.